RNAcentral lists this long non-coding RNA (1453 nucleotides) under Salmo salar (Atlantic salmon). RNAcentral's name for it is "lncRNA (ENSSSAG00000101927.1)". Lineage: Eukaryota; Metazoa; Chordata; Actinopteri; Salmoniformes; Salmonidae. The record is from RNAcentral.
GUUUUAACCAUCUAGAGUAGACUGUUUUAACCAUCUAGAGUAGACUGUUUCAACCAUCUAGAGUAGACUGUUUUAACCAUCUAGAGUAGACUGUUUUAACCAUCUAGAGUAGACUGUUUUCAACCAUCUAGAGUAGACUGUUUUCAACCAUCUAGAGUAGACUGUUUUAACCAUCUAGAGUAGACUAGUUUCAACCAUCUAGAGUAGACUGUUUCAACCAUCUAUUGUAGACUGUUUAAACCAUCUAGAGUAGACUGUUUUCAACCAUCUAGAGUAGACUGUUUUCAACCAUCUAGAGUAGACUGUUUCAACCAUCUAGAGUAGACUGUUUCAACCAUCUAGAGUAGACUGUUUUCAACCAUCUAGAGUAGACUGUUUUCAACCAUCUCGACUCAGACACUUCCUAGUACAUCGUUCAUGUUAUACCACCACCUAGAGAAUAGACGUUAGCUCUGUGUCCAUCUCCUCCAUUAUGGGCGUUUUAACCCAAAAGACAAUGAGAGAGGGAGGGAAGUAAACCCAAGAGCAAAGCACAGAAUGAAGAAACAGAGGCAGUAUGUGUACUGUAGUCAGCACCAAGGCUACGUCGCUAGCUAGCUAGCUGUAAUCCCAGGGGCUGUUUGCUGUUGGUGAUGGUUCGUGUUAGCGAUGAGGCAGGGGUGUACAGAGAUGUAAUGGGUUGAGGGAGAUAGCCAUGUCUCCAAAAACCUAAGGUGAGUGUUCUGAAAGCUUUAUGGCUAACGUGGUACUUCAUUUCUCUCGACAACCCAGACUCAAGCCAUAUGUAGAACAUCAAACAUUGAUUUUGCAAUUGGUGCUCUCAUGGUUCAGUUGUCAAGAUAGACAAAGUGCCACGUUAGCCAUGAAGGUUCUGGGAAACUCUGAGUUCUGAGGUGUGUGGCAGGAAGUGAGAAAGGCUAAGGACAGCAGGUGAGGCAGGCUAAGAACAGGUGGUGUCUAGAUGCCUUAAGACGGUGUUUCAAAAGGGGUGUGUAUCAGUUUUAUGGUGUGACGUGACUGAAGAGGUUUUUAGUCGAUCAGACAGACAGUUGGUUUGGGUCGAGACGGGGCUGGUGUGAGAAUGAAAACCACUGACUAAAGGGUUACUGACUCAGUCUUUGGUCGGAUGACAGAACUCACCUCCUUGACGUAGACUCAAACCAACAUGUCUGAACAUCAUCAAGCCAACCAACAUUCGCACACAACCUCUCUCUCUAGGAGAGGUCCACCUCUCUCUCUAGGAGAGGUCCAUCUCUCUCUCUAGGAGAGAUCCACCUCUCUCUCUAGGAGAGGUCCAUCUCUCUCUCUAGGAAAAGUCCAUCAACUAAUAUUUGUUUUCUUUAACCAUAUGUGUAGAGCUGUGUUCAGAGGAGAGGAGUGACGGAAAGGAAAAUAAAGAUGAAUUUACUACUCUGUGAUUUGUGAUUUCUGUCUGUGUGUCUGUGUCCUGAUG